GACGAACGCUGGCGGCAUGCCUAAUACAUGCAAGUCGAACGCUGAAGCACUCUGCUUGCCGCGUGCGGAUGAGUGGCGAACGGGUGAGUAACACGUGGGAAAUCUGCCUAAAAGUGGGGGAUAACAUUCGGAAACGGAUGCUAAUACCGCAUACAUUCUUGAACCGCAUGGUUCUUGAAAGAAAGACGGCUCUGCUGUCGCGUUUAGAUGAUCCCGCGGCGUAUUAGUUAGUUGGUGGGUUAAAGGCCUACCAAGACCAUGAUACGUAGCCGACCUGAGAGGGUGAUCGGCCACACUGGGACUGAGACACGGCCCAGACUCCUACGGGAGGCCGCAGUAGGGAAUCUUCCACAAUGGGUGCAAACCUGAUGGAGCAAUGCCGCGUGAAUGAAGAAGGUCUUCGGAUCGUAAAGUUCUGUUAUUAGAGAAGAACAAGUCGAGGAGUAACUGUCGCGACUUUGACGGUACCUAACAAGAAAGUCACGGCUAACUACGUG
This 497-nucleotide ribosomal RNA is filed under the name uncultured bacterium. Its description in RNAcentral is "partial 16S ribosomal RNA". It matches the Rfam family "Bacterial small subunit ribosomal RNA", at positions 28 to 507 of the family's 1533-position model. The record is from RNAcentral.